RNAcentral lists this ribosomal RNA (490 nucleotides) under uncultured bacterium. Its description in RNAcentral is "partial 16S ribosomal RNA". It matches the Rfam family "Bacterial small subunit ribosomal RNA", at positions 30 to 507 of the family's 1533-position model. The record is from RNAcentral.
AUUGAACGCUGGCGGCAGGCCUAACACAUGCAAGUCGAACGGUAAGAGGAAGCAGCUUGCUGCUUUGCUGACGAGUGGCGGACGGGUGAGUAAUGUCUGGGAAACUGCCUGAUGGAGGGGGAUAACUACUGGAAACGGUAGCUAAUACCGCAUAACGUCGCAAGACCAAAGAGGGGGACCUUCGGGCCUCUUGCCAUCGGAUGUGCCCAGAUGGGAUUAGCUAGUAGGUGGGGUAACGGCUCACCUAGGCGACGAUCCCUAGCUGGUCUGAGAGGAUGACCAGCCACACUGGAACUGAGACACGGUCCAGACUCCUACGGGAGGCAGCAGUGGGGAAUAUUGCACAAUGGGCGCAAGCCUGAUGCAGCCAUGCCGCGUGUAUGAAGAAGGCCUUCGGGUUGUAAAGUACUUUCAGCGGGGAGGAAGGGAGUAAAGUUAAUACCUUUGCUCAUUGACGUUACCCGCAGAAGAAGCACCGGCUAACUCCGUG